GGGCCCGCACAAGCAGUGGAGUAUGUGGUUUAAUUCGAGGCAACGCGAGGAACCUUACCAGGGAUUGACAUCCUGCGCUAGACUUGGAGACAGGUUGUUCCUUCGGGACGCAGAGACAGGUGGUGCAUGGUUGUCGUCAGCUCGUGUCGUGAGAUGUUCGGUUAAGUCCGGCAACGAGCGCAACCCUUGUCGCCAGUUGCCAUCAUUGAGUUGGGCACUUUGGCGAGACUGCCGUUGACAAAACGGAGGAAGGUGGGG
This 258-nucleotide ribosomal RNA is filed under the name uncultured prokaryote. Its description in RNAcentral is "partial 16S ribosomal RNA". It matches the Rfam family "Bacterial small subunit ribosomal RNA", at positions 917 to 1178 of the family's 1533-position model. The record is from RNAcentral.